Bombyx mori (domestic silkworm) is the source of this 454-nucleotide long non-coding RNA. RefSeq lists it as uncharacterized. The transcript is spliced from 2 exons. Lineage: Eukaryota; Metazoa; Arthropoda; Insecta; Lepidoptera; Bombycidae. The record is from RefSeq and is a predicted model, not a curated record.
UUGAUUUAUAGUUAAUUUAAAACACAUGAAAUGUUGAGUUCAUUGUACUUUAGAUGUGAUGUGUGAAAACGAAAAAAAAAAACACUUUACAAAAAAAUCAAAAUCAAGUUACCGUUAGCUUUUGGAACAAUACAAUAUACAACUCUAUUUUGCACAAGACAUGCAGCAAAAUAGUAGGUAUAAAAAGACAGGAAAUUAGAAGUCUGAUUCGACUGACUUUAUUCAAUUGUCAACAGGAAUUAAAACACAUGUGUAUAAAUAAGGUAAAACCGAGGCCACCAGACUAUGUAGGCAGCUGGUUUAUAAUCUAGAGAAACAGUCAUAUAGUUUCUCUGUGAAAUGCCCAGGGCCAAGUCAAAGACAAAGCAAAGUUGUGAAUAAAAAUAAUUCUGGAACUGGAACAUAUAGUCUGAAAACAACAAUGAAUGUUUUAAAUACAUUCCUAUAAUCGAAA